GACGAACGCUGGCGGCGUGCCUAAUACAUGCAAGUUGAGCGCUGAAGGUUGGUACUUGUACCGACUGGAUGAGCAGCGAACGGGUGAGUAACGCGUGGGGAAUCUGCCUUUGAGCGGGGGACAACAUUUGGAAACGAAUGCUAAUACCGCAUAAAAACUUUAAACACAAGUUUUAAGUUUGAAAGAUGCAAAUGCAUCACUCAAAGAUGAUCCCGCGUUGUAUUAGCUAGUUGGUGAGGUAAAGGCUCACCAAGGCGAUGAUACAUAGCCGACCUGAGAGGGUGAUCGGCCACAUUGGGACUGAGACACGGCCCCAACUCCUACGGGAGGCAGCAGUAGGGAAUUUUUGGCAAUGGACGAAAGUUUGACCGAGCAACGCCGCGUGAGUGAAGAAGGUUUUCGGAUCGUAAAACUCUGUUGGUAGAGAAGAACGUUGGUGAGAGUGGAAAGCUCAUCAAGUGACGGUAAC
This 469-nucleotide ribosomal RNA is filed under the name uncultured bacterium. Its description in RNAcentral is "bacterial SSU rRNA". It matches the Rfam family "Bacterial small subunit ribosomal RNA", at positions 28 to 479 of the family's 1533-position model. The record is from RNAcentral.